UACGGAGGGGGCGAGCGUUGUUCGGAAUUAUUGGGCGUAAAGGGCGCGUAGGCGGCCUGAUCAAGUCGGAUGUGAAAUCCCUCGGCUCAACCGAGGAACUGCACCCGAUACUGGUUGGCUAGAGUCCGGGAGGGGGUAGCGGAAUUCCCAGUGUAGCGGUGAAAUGCGUAGAUAUUGGGAAGAACACCGGUGGCGAAGGCGGCUACCUGGACCGGUACUGACGCUGAGGCGCGAAAGCCAGGGGAGCGAAUGGG
Molecule: ribosomal RNA, 254 nt
Filed under: uncultured bacterium
Lineage: Bacteria
Description: partial 16S ribosomal RNA
Rfam family: Bacterial small subunit ribosomal RNA
Source: RNAcentral